RNAcentral lists this ribosomal RNA (424 nucleotides) under uncultured bacterium. Its description in RNAcentral is "bacterial SSU rRNA". It matches the Rfam family "Bacterial small subunit ribosomal RNA", at positions 359 to 775 of the family's 1533-position model. The record is from RNAcentral.
GAAUAUUGGACAAUGGGCGCAAGCCUGAUCCAGCCAUGCCGCGUGAGUGAAGAAGGCCCUCGGGUUGUAAAGCUCUUUUGUUGGGGAAGAAAAGCAAUCGGUCAAUACCCGGUUGUCCUGACGGUACCCAAAGAAUAAGCACCGGCUAACUUCGUGCCAGCAGCCGCGGUAAUACGAAGGGUGCAAGCGUUACUCGGAAUUACUGGGCGUAAAGCGUGCGUAGGUGGUUUGUUAAGUCUGAUGUGAAAGCCCUGGGCUCAACCUGGGAAUUGCAUUGGAUACUGGCAGGCUAGAGUGCGGUAGAGGAUGGCGGAAUUCCCGGUGUAGCAGUGAAAUGCGUAGAGAUCGGGAGGAACAUCCGUGGCGAAGGCGGCCAUCUGGACCAGCACUGACACUGAGGCACGAAAGCGUGGGGAGCAAACAG